Molecule: ribosomal RNA, 889 nt
Filed under: Podospora leporina
Lineage: Eukaryota; Fungi; Ascomycota; Sordariomycetes; Sordariales; Podosporaceae
Description: LSU rRNA
Rfam family: Eukaryotic large subunit ribosomal RNA
Source: RNAcentral
AUCAAUAAGCGGAGGAAAAGAAACCAACAGGGAUUGCCCUAGUAACGGCGAGUGAAGCGGCAACAGCUCAAAUUUGAAAUCUGGCUUCGGCCCGAGUUGUAAUUUGUAGAGGGAGCUUUUGGCGAGGCACCUACUGAGUCCCCUGGAACGGGGCGCCAUAGAGGGUGAGAGCCCCGUAUAGUAGGACGCCGAGCCUUUGUAAAGCCCCUUCGACGAGUCGAGUAGUUUGGGAAUGCUGCUCAAAAUGGGAGGUAAAUUUCUUCUAAAGCUAAAUAUUGGCCAGAGACCGAUAGCGCACAAGUAGAGUGAUCGAAAGAUGAAAAGCACUUUGAAAAGAGGGUUAAACAGCACGUGAAAUUGUUGAAAGGGAAGCGCUUGUGACCAGACUUGCGCCUGGCUGAUCAUCCGGUGUUCUCACCGGUGCACUCGGCCAGGCUCAGGCCAGCAUCGGUUCUCGCGGGGGGAUAAAGACCUGGGGAACGUAGCUCCUCCGGGAGUGUUAUAGCCCUGGGUGCAACGCCCUCGCGGGGACCGAGGUUCGCGCAUCUGCAAGGAUGCUGGCGUAAUGGUCAUCAGCGACCCGUCUUGAAACACGGACCAAGGAGUCAAGGUUUUGCGCGAGUGUUUGGGUGUUAAACCCGCACGCGUAAUGAAAGUGAACGUAGGUGAGAGCUUCGGCGCAUCAUCGACCGAUCCUGAUGUUUUCGGAUGGAUUUGAGUAGGAGCGUUAAGCCUUGGACCCGAAAGAUGGUGAACUAUGCUUGGAUAGGGUGAAGCCAGAGGAAACUCUGGUGGAGGCUCGCAGCGGUUCUGACGUGCAAAUCGAUCGUCAAAUCUGAGCAUGGGGGCGAAAGACUAAUCGAACCAUCUAGUAGCUGGUUACCGCCGA